CUACCGUCACACACAGAUAACAAAUAGACGGUUCAUACAAUAGUUUGUCUCUACGUGUUGGUACAAAAAUCAGGAAACGAUCUUCACGUACUAACACACGAAAUUUGGAAGAAUCUGCUUCACUCCUGUUCGGGUUGUAGCCCUCUCGAUCCGUGGCGUAUCAGUCAAUCUAACUUACUGAUUGACAAGAACAAGUAAAAUGUCAAAUACAAGAGCAAAUCGGCUAGUGUUCCGAACAGGGCCGGCCCUUGGGGGGGCAGGGGGGCGGCUGCCCUGAGCCCCCAAAUCCCAGGGGCCCCACCCCAGGUGCAGGCCUGCCCAGGUGUCAGGUACGGGACUGCAGGAGGUACUCGAGUGUUUUGGCCUUUGGGCCGGCCGGGCGACGUAAUUAGCGAUUGGAGUUCAGACGAUAGGUCAGUACGCCGUGCGCAGCAGAACGCACGCAUUCGCACGCAAUUACACAGGUAGUAGAUUGCAUCCUAGCCUCCUGGUACCGCAGCGCCGCCACCGCACGCAGCAUGCCGCACUACCGCAGCGCC
RNAcentral lists this long non-coding RNA (539 nucleotides) under Setaria viridis. Its description in RNAcentral is "long non-coding RNA (SVIR_LNC010935)". Lineage: Eukaryota; Viridiplantae; Streptophyta; Magnoliopsida; Poales; Poaceae. The record is from RNAcentral.